UAAAGCCUGCCGGGUGCGAUUCUCUUAGAACACUAACCCAACACACUUUUAAACGGAAGUUUUUCUCGAAUGUGGAGUGCAGACCUCCCCUUUUGGGACGCUGGGAGCACGGUAGCGGACGGAAGACACCCACCUGCUUUUACAUGCAGGUUACUGAUCCUAAGACCCCGGCUCGGCGGGUGACAA
RNAcentral lists this non-coding RNA (186 nucleotides) under Candidatus Limimonas egerieequi. RNAcentral describes it as "6S RNA". It matches the Rfam family "6S / SsrS RNA". From Rfam's summary of the family: E. coli 6S RNA was the first non coding RNA to be sequenced, but its function was unknown until recently. It consists of 184 nucleotides that fold into an extended hairpin structure with a large single-stranded internal bulge. The record is from RNAcentral. Lineage: Bacteria; Bacillati; Bacillota; Clostridia; Eubacteriales; Acutalibacteraceae.